This 468-nucleotide ribosomal RNA is filed under the name uncultured bacterium. RNAcentral describes it as "partial 16S ribosomal RNA". It matches the Rfam family "Bacterial small subunit ribosomal RNA", at positions 28 to 507 of the family's 1533-position model. The record is from RNAcentral.
GACGAACGCUGGCGGCGUGCUUAACACAUGCAAGUCGAACGGAAAGGCCUGUCUCUUGUGGGGUGCUCGAGUGGCGAUCGUGUGAGUAACACGUGUGUAACCUGCCCUGUGCGUGGGGAUAUCUCUAGGAAACUGGGGCUCAUACCGGAUAGGAGCUGUGGUGGCAUGGUGGGGGUUGGAAAGUUUGUGCGUUUGUUGAUGGACUCGCGGCUUAGCAGCUUGUUGGUGGGGUUUGGGCUUACCAAGGCUUUGACGGGUAGCCGGCCUGAGAGGGUGACCGGCCACAUUGGGACUGAGAUACCACCCAGACUCCACAGGGAGGCAGCAGUGGGGAAUAGUGCACAAUGGGCGGAAGCCGGAUGCAGCACAGCCGCGUGCGGGAUGACGGCCUUCGGGUUGUAACAAAAAAGCGCCUGUGACGAAGCGUGAGUGACGGUAAUGGGUAAAGAAGCACCGGCUAACUACGUG